GGUAGGGUGGCUGAGUAAGCGGUGGAUUGUAGCCCCACACACAGAGGUUUAAGUCCUCUUCCUAUCA
RNAcentral lists this transfer RNA (67 nucleotides) under Solivomer arenidens. Its description in RNAcentral is "tRNA-Tyr". It matches the Rfam family "tRNA". Rfam says of the family: Transfer RNA (tRNA) molecules are approximately 80 nucleotides in length. The record is from RNAcentral. Lineage: Eukaryota; Metazoa; Chordata; Actinopteri; Myctophiformes; Neoscopelidae.